RNAcentral lists this ribosomal RNA (621 nucleotides) under Flavobacterium sp. Ri2Pw_5864. Its description in RNAcentral is "bacterial SSU rRNA". It matches the Rfam family "Bacterial small subunit ribosomal RNA", at positions 395 to 1017 of the family's 1533-position model. Lineage: Bacteria; Pseudomonadati; Bacteroidota; Flavobacteriia; Flavobacteriales; Flavobacteriaceae. The record is from RNAcentral.
UGCCGCGUGCAGGAUGACGGUCCUAUGGAUUGUAAACUGCUUUUGUACGAAAAGAAACACUCCAACGUGUUGGAGCUUGACGGGAUCGUAAGAAUAAGGAUCGGCUAACUCCGUGCCAGCAGCCGCGGUAAUACGGAGGAUCCAAGCGUUAUCCGGAAUCAUUGGGUUUAAAGGGUCCGUAGGCGGUUUAGUAAGUCAGUGGUGAAAGCCCAUCGCUCAACGGUGGAACGGCCAUUGAUACUGCUAAACUUGAAUUAUUAGGAAGUAACUAGAAUAUGUAGUGUAGCGGUGAAAUGCUUAGAGAUUACAUGGAAUACCAAUUGCGAAGGCAGGUUACUACUAAUGGAUUGACGCUGAUGGACGAAAGCGUGGGUAGCGAACAGGAUUAGAUACCCUGGUAGUCCACGCCGUAAACGAUGGAUACUAGCUGUUGGGAGCAAUCUCAGUGGCUAAGCGAAAGUGAUAAGUAUCCCACCUGGGGAGUACGUUCGCAAGAAUGAAACUCAAAGGAAUUGACGGGGGCCCGCACAAGCGGUGGAGCAUGUGGUUUAAUUCGAUGAUACGCGAGGAACCUUACCAAGGCUUAAAUGUAGUUUGACCGAUUUGGAAACAGAUCUUUCG